RNAcentral lists this ribosomal RNA (345 nucleotides) under uncultured Alcaligenes sp. RNAcentral's name for it is "bacterial SSU rRNA". It matches the Rfam family "Bacterial small subunit ribosomal RNA", at positions 42 to 383 of the family's 1533-position model. Lineage: Bacteria; Pseudomonadati; Pseudomonadota; Betaproteobacteria; Burkholderiales; Alcaligenaceae. The record is from RNAcentral.
GGAUGCUUUACACAUGCAAGUCGAACGGCAGCGCGAGAGAGCUUGCUCUCUUGGCGGCGAGUGGCGGACGGGUGAGUAAUAUAUCGGAACGUGCCCAGUAGCGGGGGAUAACUACUCGAAAGAGUGGCUAAUACCGCAUACGCCCUACGGGGGAAAGGGGGGGAUCGCAAGACCUCUCACUAUUGGAGCGGCCGAUAUCGGAUUAGCUAGUUGGUGGGGUAAAGGCUCACCAAGGCAACGAUCCGUAGCUGGUUUGAGAGGACGACCAGCCACACUGGGACUGAGACACGGCCCAGACUCCUACGGGAGGCAGCAGUGGGGAAUUUUGGACAAUGGGGGAAACCC